Molecule: long non-coding RNA, 451 nt
Organism: Pollicipes pollicipes
Lineage: Eukaryota; Metazoa; Arthropoda; Thecostraca; Pollicipedomorpha; Pollicipedidae
Exons: 4
Source: RefSeq, a predicted model, not a curated record
GCCUCGGGCAGUGACAGCGCGGCCUGCACGGAGGACGUGAACGAGUGCGCCGACAGCCGACCGGCCUGCUCCCACGAUCCGCCCGUGCCCUGCAUCAACACGCCCGGCUCCUUCCGCUGCGGGGCCUGUCCGGCAGGUUACACGGGCAAUGGUUUUUCCUGCACGGAUGUGGACGAGUGCCUGCAGUACAAUGGUGGCUGCAGCAUGAAUCCAAUGGUGGACUGCUUUAACACAAGGGGCUGGCGACGAUGUGGGGCGUGCCCAGCCGGUUACCAAGGCAACGGAGUGGUCUGCCGCGUAGCAGCGGGCGGGAUCUGCGGUGUCGGUAACGGCGGAUGCCACCCUCUCGCCCAGUGUUACCACAACCCAGCGAUAUCGGCCAGUCAUGUGCAGUGCACUUGUCCGUCGGGGUACGCCGGCUCGGGGCUGGGCCCGGCCGGCUGCGUGCCGC